This 579-nucleotide ribosomal RNA is filed under the name Pseudomonas sp. RNAcentral describes it as "bacterial SSU rRNA". It matches the Rfam family "Bacterial small subunit ribosomal RNA", at positions 66 to 641 of the family's 1533-position model. The record is from RNAcentral. Lineage: Bacteria; Pseudomonadati; Pseudomonadota; Gammaproteobacteria; Pseudomonadales; Pseudomonadaceae.
GCGGAUGAGGGAGCUUGCUCCUGGAUUCAGCGGCGGACGGGUGAGUAAUGCCUAGGAAUCUGCCUGGUAGUGGGGGAUAACGUCCGGAAACGGGCGCUAAUACCGCAUACGUCCUGAGGGAGAAAGUGGGGGAUCUUCGGACCUCACGCUAUCAGAUGAGCCUAGGUCGGAUUAGCUAGUUGGUGGGGUAAAGGCCUACCAAGGCGACGAUCCGUAACUGGUCUGAGAGGAUGAUCAGUCACACUGGAACUGAGACACGGUCCAGACUCCUACGGGAGGCAGCAGUGGGGAAUAUUGGACAAUGGGCGAAAGCCUGAUCCAGCCAUGCCGCGUGUGUGAAGAAGGUCUUCGGAUUGUAAAGCACUUUAAGUUGGGAGGAAGGGCAGUAAGUUAAUACCUUGCUGUUUUGACGUUACCAACAGAAUAAGCACCGGCUAACUUCGUGCCAGCAGCCGCGGUAAUACGAAGGGUGCAAGCGUUAAUCGGAAUUACUGGGCGUAAAGCGCGCGUAGGUGGUUCAGCAAGUUGGAUGUGAAAUCCCCGGGCUCAACCUGGGAACUGCAUCCAAAACUACUGAGC